GCCUUGCGCGCGGGGUUGGCUGCCGGGAGGUCGACGCUAGUGCGGUCCCCCGCGCGGCGGAGGGGCCCGGGCCGCGGUAUCUGCGCACUGAGACGUCGGCGGAAGGCUAGAGGCCGUGCUCUCGCCCCCGCAGAAGGCCACCACUCCUUGAGAAGGCCGGAGGGACAAAGCACCGGGCCUGCGCCGGGGGCAUUCAAGAAGGAAGCCAGGCCCGACCGGGGGUGGCGCACGCUUCCCGAACCCCAGGCCCACGGCCCGGUUCCGCGCGGGCAGUUGGCGCCCCCUCGGGUCGGCACAGCAGACCUCUUAGUAAUGGUCCCCAGGGAGUGUGAGUGGGUCCCCGCCAAUCUUUUAAGGUUCAGAGAUCCACCGUCGAACGAAGCCGCUUUUACAACUUCCCCAUUUAGCCUCUUUCCUCCCCCGCCGCUGGCUAAAGCGCUGAACCUUGCCAUCCUCCUGGGGUGCCUAACGAUUUGCCCUGCCUUGGACAGCCAGUCCUCUUCAGGUGGUGGGCUGCUGGUAGGGGUAGGAAGCAAGGCCUGGGGCACAGUUGGGGACCCUCACACCUGAUUUUCUGUUUUAAGGAGGAACUGGGUUUCAAAAAGCUGUAGAGUCAGUGGGAGUUUCCUUUUGUGGCCCUUGGCACUUUUUAAAACACCCAUCUGCAAGGCGGGAACAGCGGAGAAAGUGCUAUGUAGUUCAUAAAAAGGAUAUUGGGAGACUGUUAUCUUAAGAGUUUUUCUAGAGAUUGUUUUGUAAUCUCUCAGUUUAGAGAGUUGAUAUGUCCCGCGCCAUCAGCCCGCUGAAUGGGAUCUUCCUUCAGACAGGGACUGAGAAACGGAAAUACUACCAUCCUCCAGCCAAUCUGUUGGGAGGACUGCUUGCAGAGGACUCGUGCUCCAGAUGUUGCACUAGAGGCGCUGCAAGUGUGAGCAGCAGGUAGAUGAAACUCAAGAGAAAAGGUGUGGAUAAAUGAAACUAGCCCAUGAUGAACCUGUUUUCUCCGUGACCACAAUAUUAACCAGGAUGAAUGGCGGUGGCAGUGGGCCUGCAUCACAGGUUGCAGCAGAUGUUCUCAAUAUUUCUAUUAAAAUUUCCUUAUUUCCAUAUGCAAGAGGAGCCCCAGAGCUGCAUCCUUAUGGUAGCUACCAUGCCGUGAUGUAAGCUGCCAUUCACUGGGGAGCUUUGGCAAUAGAAUUGGCUAGAUCAGGAAGCCUAUGUCAACUAUGGAACAACAACUUGCAGCUCAUCUCUAUUGAUGAUGGAAUCUCGCUAUGUCACCAGGCUGGAGUGCAGUGGCGCAACCUCGGCUCAGCGCAACAUCCGCCUCCCGGGUUCAAGUGAUUCUCCUACCUCAGCCUCCUGAGUAGCUGGGAUUACAGAUACACUGCCUCUAGGACUGGGACAGAUAGCCACUGAGUACCUGCUUCAAAUCACCCUGCACGUUUUCUCUUUGGAAAGAUAAGCACUGGAGAACCAUCUCGUUACCUUCAGCAGAAAUGGAAACAAAUCAAGACAUUAAGAAUGCCGCAGUGGACAGCAGUUAUGCAAGGUUCAGCAGAGGAAGUUUUCAAGAUGGUGUGCCUCACUAGCCAGAAAUCAGAAAAGAUCGAAGCUAGCCUUUUCAUCUCAGCUGCUCCUUAAAUCAGUGCAACCCCUCCAAAUUAAUGUGAAUUGAAACUUGCAUUGCUUUUCAACUUAAUUGAAUACUUACUAUAUGUGAACCACUGCACAAAAUAGGGGAAGAAGAUGUGGGAGACAAAGAUGUGGAGCCUGUCUUCAAUAAAUUUACAGUUAGUUUCAGGGUACAUUGUUUUUCUUCUGCUGUUAAUUAGGUGUAUCCCCAAGACAAUAAAUACAUGAAUGGAAAAGUAUAUUCUGUGUUUUAAGUCUCUUUAAUAAAAAACAAAACAAAAUCCAAAAAAACUCCUAACAUGGCAACUCAGGACAUUUUAAUCCUUUUUUUUGUUGUUGGGCUUCUGAUAGGAUCCAUUUUAUUGAUUCCAUAAAUAUUUAGUAGACUUUAGACAUAUUAAUACAUUGUAGUUUGAGUUAAUUUGCAUUAAAUUCUGUUUUUUUCCCCUUAGGUAUAGAUUGUCUGUUGGAAAAAUAUAUUGCUUGUGGAUUUCUUGGGGAGUGGGAAGGUGAAUUAUACCUGUUGUCUCUACAGUCCACUACCUUCCACACCCUAGGGCAGUGGUCCCCAACCUUCUUGGCACCAGGGAUCAGUUUCCUGGAAGACAAUUUUUCUGUGGAUGGUGUGGGGAUGGUUUUGGGAUGGAACUGUUCCACCUCAGAUCAUCAGGCAUUAGUUAGGCUCUCAUAACGAGUGCGCAGCCUAGAUCCCUCACAUGCACAGUUCACAGUAGGGUUUGCGCUGCUAUGAGAAUCUAAGGCUGCCACUGAUCUGACAGGAGGCAGAACUCAGGUGGCAAUGCUUACUGGCCCACUGCUCACCUCUUGCUGUGCGGCCUGGUUCCUAAUAGGCCAUGGACCCCCACAGACGGGUACUAGUCUGCAGCCUGUGGACCCCAGCCCUAGGGGCCUGCCAUUCUGAGUGAGUUAUUAGCAUGAAGAAGAGGAAGAUCUGGAUCAAACGUGGGUGAUGGUACUCAGAGACCCAAGAUAGGAUAGGGAUGGAACAAAAUCCAUCUGGGCAACGGCUCUAUGAAAAUUUGGCUAAGUAAUUAUUUCAGUAUUCAUUGUAUUCAUUGUCCUUCGUGUUCCAUAAGUUAAAUGACUGUCUAAUUUUUCCAAAAAUUUAUUUCUGACUUGAGAAUAAGUGUGUCAUGAUUUUCCCAGUGUAAAGACACUGAUAUAACUGUAGAUACCAGACAUUUUAUGUAGUGUCUAUGACACAUUUUAGUAUGUAUGAGCCAACAAUAGACAUGUCUUUGUCUUGAGGAGUGUCCAUCUGAAUUGAAAAUGUGUCAGCUUUUUUUUAACAUCAUCAACAGACUUCUUAAUUAAGCUGCCAAUACAUACUGCCAAUAGCACUGUGUGCUGUCUGAGAAAUGCAUUGUGUAAGUGCUAUUUCCAUCUUAUUAAAUAAACAAUGUUGCUCUGUAUAAACUGGAUUUAAAGUGUUCUUUGAAUGAGGCAUUAUAUUGCUCCAUAAAUAAUGUGAUGUGAAUUCUCAUAUGAUCCCUUUUAACUUAAUUUCUAAAAAAAUAUUAUUUGCUCCUCAGUAAGGAAUAGCUCUAAUUGGACUGGUAACUUUAGUGAUAUGAUUUGUCUGUAACAGGCUGAAUCGCCCCACUCCCAAACUCCUGGUCGUGAUACUGGAUAUUUGUUAUGCCACUUUUAGUUUGCAUGAGGUAUCUUCCAGGAAGUAUUAGUUAUUAACUUGUGUUCUACUAAACUGUAGAUAUUUAUUUCCUGUUCUGGAAGAUUUCUUGGAGUGUCCAUCUGUGCAUUCCUGGUGCCUAGUGUAGUCUUGCUAAUGGAAUAGCACCUUUAUUGGUGCUACUUAGGGGUUGGUAGCUUACAAUCAAUCUACUUGGAACGUAUCCAAAUAAACUGGAUAUUUUUAUACA
Molecule: long non-coding RNA, 3536 nt
Filed under: Homo sapiens (human)
Lineage: Eukaryota; Metazoa; Chordata; Mammalia; Primates; Hominidae
Description: NR2F1 regulatory antisense RNA 1, transcript variant 34 (NR2F1-AS1)
Source: RNAcentral